GUGAGAACAUGUGAGGGAAAACAACAUGGUGACACCAAGGUUAUGUCUGGCAGUGAUUGGUGAGUUCAGGAACAUACGCGUGCUGGAUGUACACAUAUUAUGCAACUGAUCUGCAGCAGGAAAGCCCUAAUUUCGUCUACGCUGAAAAUAUGCCCAGACCACAAGUAUUUGAAAGCAAGGGAACACCUGCAAGUCAAGCAAGAAUGAAAUGGAGACUGCCAAAGCCUGUAAUUUUCUUUACUUGGUUCUUUGCUGUGAAAUGCAUCAGGGGUGUUAUCAGAUCAUUCACUGAUAUGAAAAAGAGGUACUCACAAAUUUCCCUGUCACAAACAUAGUUUCUGAUCUGAAAUCUACUGUGGCCAAGAGAAAGAUUAUCACUUACUUCAGUGGCAAACUAUUUGAGGUCUAACAUGUUGUUAAACUUAGUACAGUAACAUCAGUAUAAUCUCUCAAAAAAAUUAAAACUCUUAAUUUUAUAUAAAUAAAUAUAAAUUGAUGUAAAUUUUGAUGCAUUUGCACCUACCUAUGUAUUUCAUGGCAAGUUUUAAGCACCACUUUUUUCUAAUUCAGUUCCUUUAGACCUAUUAUCAAAAUUACUACUGUCAGGAAAUUAAUUGUUUUUAAUAUAAAACACCAACUGCCUUUCACUUUCAAUUUCUGCUUUUUUCUUUUUUUAUUUGCAUUCAUUUAGAAAUUAUUACAUUCAGUGUGACAAUACAAAUUUCAUAUAUUUUCCAGUUGAAAAUUUAAGUGAAAACUGUGUGUUUUAAUGACUUCUGUUGAAUUGGAUAAAACAACAGACUUUGAUCAAUCUGCCUCUGUUUUACCAUUCCUAAAAGUACUCUGUCCAGGUUUAAUGAUGUUGACUUGCUAAGGAUAUAUUUAUAGCAAUAUAAGUGCAAUAUUUCUAUGUCUCUCUAAAGCUGAAUAAAUUAAACACAGGGAAAGUUGUUUUUCUGCUAUUGCUAUGUAUAGUCAAAAUUUAUGCUACAUGUGGCUCAAUUUUCAACCUGCCUAACACUACAUGUGGGACACUAGCACAUGAUUUACUCAUGCUGGGAGAUUCCAUCAGAACAGUCAUGAGUGCCCAUGAACUUUCCAGUAAAUUCCAUAAAUUAGACACUUAAACAUGUUGUGGACCUUCAUCUCUUUCUCACUUUGUACUUGUAAGUUUGGAGGAACCUUAUCUUAAAUUUCUUAUGUAGUGGUAUAUCUCAGCAUUUUUUUUUUUUGUCUUUAUAAAUAUUGCUGGAAUUUAGGAAAAUUAAUUUUAUAAGUUGGGCUAGAAAGAGAAAAUAAAUUGGAUAUCUGGAAAUUCACUUUAGCCUGAAAAACCUGGUCUUGCUAGACGUCUGCUACAGUUAGUGUAGGGAAAAAUGUCCUGUGCUUUGAGGAACAUUCAGAAUAUUUGAAUUCAUGUUGUAAAACAUCUUAUGAAAUAACAUCUCUGUUCCUGUUAAAAAAGAAGGGAGUUAGCAUCC
Long non-coding RNA from Corvus hawaiiensis (hawaiian crow), 1481 nucleotides. RefSeq lists it as uncharacterized. NCBI's taxonomy places the organism in Eukaryota, Metazoa, Chordata, Aves, Passeriformes, Corvidae. The transcript is spliced from 3 exons. The record is from RefSeq and is a predicted model, not a curated record.